This 253-nucleotide ribosomal RNA is filed under the name uncultured bacterium. Its description in RNAcentral is "partial 16S ribosomal RNA". It matches the Rfam family "Bacterial small subunit ribosomal RNA", at positions 524 to 776 of the family's 1533-position model. The record is from RNAcentral.
UACGUAGGGUGCGAGCGUUGUCCGGAAUUACUGGGCGUAAAGAGCUCGUAGGUGGUUUGUCGCGUUGUUCGUGAAAACUCACAGCUUAACUGUGGGCGUGCGGGCGAUACGGGCAGACUAGAGUACUGCAGGGGAGACUGGAAUUCCUGGUGUAGCGGUGGAUUGCGCAGAUAUCAGGAGGAACACCGGUGGCGAAGGCGGGUCUCUGGGCAGUAACUGACGCUGAGGAGCGAAAGCGUGGGGAGCGAACAGG